Molecule: ribosomal RNA, 253 nt
Filed under: uncultured bacterium
Lineage: Bacteria
Description: partial 16S ribosomal RNA
Rfam family: Bacterial small subunit ribosomal RNA
Source: RNAcentral
UACGUAGGUGACCAGCGUUGUCCGGAUUUACUGGGCGUAAAGAGCGCGCAGGCGGUCGUUCAAGUCGAGUGUGAAAGCCCCCGGCUCAACUGGGGAGGGUCACUCGAUACUGAUCGACUCGAAGGCAGGAGAGGGUAGUGGAAUUCCCGGUGUAGUGGUGAAAUGCGUAGAUAUCGCUUGGAACGCCAAUGGUGAAAACAGCUCGCUGGGGGUGUGCUGACGCUGAGACACGAAAGCCAGGGGAGCGAACGGG